ACUCCUACGGGAGGCAGCAGUGGGGAAUAUUGCACAAUGGGCGCAAGCCUGAUGCAGCCAUGCCGCGUGUGUGAAGAAGGCCUUCGGGUUGUAAAGCACUUUCAGUCGUGAGGAAGGCGGCGUCGUUAAUAGCGGCGUUGUUUGACGUUAGCGACAGAAGAAGCACCGGCUAACUCCGUGCCAGCAGCCGCGGUAAUACGGAGGGUGCGAGCGUUAAUCGGAAUUACUGGGCGUAAAGCGCAUGCAGGUGGUUUGUUAAGUCAGAUGUGAAAGCCCGGGGCUUAACCUCGGAAUAGCAUUUGAAACUGGCAGACUAGAGUACUGUAGAGGGGGUAGAAUUUCAGGUGUAGCGGUGAAAUGCGUAGAGAUCUGAAGGAAUACCGGUGGCGAAGGCGGCCCCUGGACAGAUACUGACACUCAGAUGCGAAAGCGUGGGAGCAAACAGGAUUAGAUACCCCUGGUAG
Molecule: ribosomal RNA, 464 nt
Filed under: uncultured bacterium
Lineage: Bacteria
Description: bacterial SSU rRNA
Rfam family: Bacterial small subunit ribosomal RNA
Source: RNAcentral